UUUUUUAGUUUAACUAAAAUAUAAGCCUACCUGCGGUAUACCGCAAGUUAAUAUAUAGUUAGCUCAAUAUCAUUGUAAUAAUUAAAUAUUAUUUGCUUCGUUCCAAAUAUUUUAUAAGAAAUUUAGCAGAGUUUUACGUAUUUGCUUUGGCCUCUCUUCAGCUACAGUUAGAGAUCCAGAUAUGGCGGAUGCAGUAGCAAGAUUUUUUUAUGUUACUAUUUUAUUUCUCUAUACAUGUUUCCAUGAAAUUAACCAACUACAGUAAAACCUCUAUAAAUUAAUAAUAUUGGGACCAAAAAAAUUUAUUAAUUUAGAGAAGUAUUAAGUUAUCGAUAAAU
Molecule: small RNA, 338 nt
Filed under: Arabidopsis thaliana (thale cress)
Lineage: Eukaryota; Viridiplantae; Streptophyta; Magnoliopsida; Brassicales; Brassicaceae
Description: ATSL179400
Source: RNAcentral